GAGACGUGGCGGGGAGAGGGUUCAAACUAAGAAUGCUCCUUGAUAAAGAGAACAUAUUGAGGGAGAACAUGUUGAGAUGCUUAAGUGAACAGCCAAAGGGGAAAGGGUUUUUUGAGUAUGUGCUGUGCCUAUUAUUUGCAUAACCCCACCCUCUGCUUAGGGAGAGAGGGUUGUAAUAAAGAGCAAAACUUGAGUUAGACAUGACACUAAAAUUUCUGUGACAGACUGGGGCAAAAGCGCCUUAUCUAUUGGGGGUUCUAACAAGUAGAAAUGACCAGAAAGGACUCUUUCCAGAAUUAGUAAAUAUUGGAAGCUAGAGGAGGUAGGAAGUGGCUUCAUGGCAACACUGCAGCUGUGCUUUUCAUGAUCAUUAAUGGAUCUGAUGGAAUAAGACAGUGGAAAAUGCUGUAAGUAAAUAAAUGACAGGCUGUGGCCUAUCAUCAGGUGACAGAUCAUCCUGCCUGGGCUCUGAAGAACGGAGACGUUGUCAUCUGUCUGGUCCCCCUCACAUUCCCUGUCAGCCUCACCGCAUCCGGGUGGCAUGUCACAGUCAUCGGAGCAAGAGGAAUACAGCCGUGUAAACAUCAGCUUGGGAGCCGAGUCAAUCAAACACGGGACUCUAACUGCACAGAAGCCCUUUGCUGCCGGAAAAGAAAAGCACUCAGAGAGAAAGAAAUGCCUUUCAGUGGCCUGUUUCUGCUUCCGCUGCUGCUACUUAUUUCUUAAUUGAAUUUAACAGGUUGUGGGUUUUGUUGAAAGGGAAAAGUCAUAAUUUUUCCCCAUCAAGAGUAGGGGACUUAACACAAAUCUCGCUGUUUUAGAGCUGAUCAAUAGUUAUUGGAUUUGCCCAAUCAGCCAAAGGAGAGGAGAGGCAAAUCAAAGCCAUAGGCCACAAGGACUCUUACAGAGCUUUACAGCCUCCACCAAGAUGAAAGUUAGGCAAGUUGCAAGAAACGACAACAAAGGAGAUGAUGAAACAUCUCCUCGGCUGAGCUCAAGUGGCAUUUGGAAGAAUAAUUUGGAGGGUUGUUCCAAAACAAAUAAUGAACCAUGUAUUAAAAUAAACAAAGUCAUAAAAAUGUCAGGAGGAAUGCCAGAAUAAUAAUGACUUCCCAGUGAGAGAGAAAAGUCAAAGGAGGAUAAUGCAACCUCUUCCUGAAUGAAAACAGCCAGUGCUCUCUGUCCCCAUGGACUUUCCAUCUCCUUCUGGAUACGGCUUAAGAAGCUUUUGGAGCUGCCAUUUUAGAAGCUGUCUUUCAUGGUACAUAAGGAGAAAAAGUGGAUGGAUCCUUCCCUUGUUCUGUUAAAAAAGUAACUGUCCACCAUCACAUAGCUUUCUCAUGUAUCUGCAGUGCAUGUGGAAAGACUCUUAUGAGGAAGGUACCUUCUGCUGAGAUUUCCUGAAUACCCUGACCCUCACCUUGGGAGCAGCCAUUGACAAAACUUGUACUAUGGGAGGCCCUUUGGCUAAGCAUUGAUGAUUUCUGAAAAUGGGGUCGCUUUGUUAUUUCUCUGUCAAAAGGACUUAUGUAACUAUCCAGCAGUAUAAAGCAUCAGAGUAAUAGUACCGAUGAGUCCAGAAUUAUCCCAAACCAUAGGGAUUCUGAGGCAACAACAAUUGCAGAGUUCAUAUGUAGCAUUAAACUAAAAGCCACUGAACACUGAGUUGAUAUCCUAUCCCUAGGUUCCUUGAUCUACCACUGAAGACCCUGAAAGUCCUGGUCCCAGCCUAAAUUUUCAGCCACAUUUCUUUUUCUUUUCUUUCUUUCUUUCUUUUUUUUUUAGAUGAAGUUUCACUCUUGUUGCCCAGUCUGGAGUACAAUGGCACAAUCUUGUCUCACUGCAACCUCCACCUCCCGGGUUCAAGCGAUUCUCCUGUCUCAGCCUCCCAAGUAGCUGGGAUUAUAGGCACCCACCACCACGCCUGGCUAAUUUUUGUAUUUUCAGUAGAGAUGGGGUUUCACCAUGUUGGACAGGCUGGUCUUGAACUCCUGGCCUCAGGUGAUCCACCUGCCUCAGCCUCCCAAAGUACUGGGAUUACAGGCCUGAGCCACCACAGGUGGCCUACACUAUUUUUAGGAAACUAUAUUACUAUCAGUGGCCUGUACUUUCCUGUAUUUGGGAUAUUGCUUUUAUUACCCCCACCCCUGGAAUAUGUCUCAUCUUUCCAUGUAUCCAUCAAACAUACACACUGGCCUAGAAAUUCCAUUUCUAGACAUUCAUCAGCAAGGAAACAAAUUUCCUUCAAGAUUCUCUUUUCAGUAUGUUUACAAUAAAAAAAAGAUAGCAACCCCAAAUUCUCAACAUUAUAUAAUACUUAAAUAAAUUAUAAUACAUCCAUAUGUAAUAAUGUAGUAUUCAGGCAAUAAAAAAUGAUACCAUAGAUUAAUAUUGAUUCUCAUGGAAUAAUAUUCAUGAUAUAUAUUUUUGAUGGAGAAAAAUAAGCUACAGAACCAACCUGUACAAAUGGUUUUGCUUUUAUAAAAAGCAACAUAUCUAUAUAUGUAUAUAUUCAUUUAUAUCCAUAUUCAUAAUUUUAUUGAGAGUGUAGAAAUACACACCAAUGUAUACAUGUGUUAUUUAUGGAUCAAGAAAUUGUUUUGUGUGUAUGCAUGUCAUUUAAUUUUACAACCUUUCAAAAGUAAACAUGAAUUACCUCGAUAUAGAAAAUAAUUUUAAUGUAAACUAUCCUUCAAACUCUAGCUCAAAUGCCUUUCUUCCCACACAAAGCUUUACCUAAAACUUCAUCAGUAAGCUCUUCUUUUUCUGAACUCUAUCUGUAUCUAUUUUAUGCCGUUUAAAUUUCAUCUUGGGUUAAAUACAUUCGUGUAUUAUUAAAAUAUAAACUGCAUGAGAGUAGCAGUCCUUUCUAAUUUAUUCUUGCAUGUAAACUUGUAGCAAAUGUUUACAAAUAUCCAUUGUAUGAAUAAAUAUUGUGUGCCUAAUCAGUAAUUCUAAAAUUUAGCUGCAUAUCAGAAUUACUUUGAAAGUGUUUUAAAAGCACAGAGUCCUGGGCCUAUCAAUGCUUUUAGGUCAGAGGUGGAGAAUUACGGUCCUACCGUUCCUCCUAGACAAUUCCAGUUUAAUCUAGGAAAUUAUCCUUCCACCUGGCAUGCUCAUACUACCUGUCCACAUACUUGAGCUUUGGGUCGUUAACGCCCUGAAUUAAUUCCUGCCCUUGCAAAAAGUAUAUAAGCAAUCAUUAACUGAUCAGACUUAAUAAUCAAAGUGCCCGGAAUAUUACAAGUGUUUUAACAAAUGUUUGUUAAAUGAAUAGUUAUAUUCUUCUGCCAUGUUCCUAAGAGCUUGUACUUGUGACUUCCUCCAGAGUUCUCUCUCUGAUUGCCUUGAUUUGCCCCUUUUCUGUCUCCCCGAUACUCCUCUAAUUGUCUUCUUGAGAGCUGAUUCACCUCUUAGCCUGAUCAUAAUAUUUUUGUAAGUACAGAUUUUUCAGCCAGGUUGGCACAGGAAAAUUAGCUGUGCACAUGAAGGAAGCUUCAAGAUCAACAUCAAAAGUUCUUCGGUGGGUAAUGGGAUCUGGGGUUGAGUACUUAGUAAUGGGAUUAAUCCAUGAUCUGAGAGGUGAGUCAGGGGCAGUUGGGAGCAGUGAAAAUCAUUAUCUGGUGGUAGAGAGAUGGGAAGAGAAGGAAAUCUAAAAAAGGAUAUUCCAACAGCAUUAAUUCAGGGAGAGAGCUGCACAUUGGGUACAUGGCAAUUCCAUCAAGAACAUUUAAGUAGGGAGACAGUUCAAAGAAUUUGUCCGUAUACUUUCUCUGCCCAUUUGUCAUUGUCACUUAUUGUCACUGUUGUUUAUAAGCUUUGCUCUUCACUCAUCAUUUCUCCUAACCUUUCACUUGCCUGGUCCUAAAUCCCAGGAUCCUUUCAAUUCUCUGGCAUGUCUUAGUCAGUCCAGUCCUAGGAGUCAUUGUAUGUAUCUGACCAUAGAAAAGAUUGAGGUAGAAGGUGCUGAUGGGAAGAUAAACAAAAUAUGAAAUUGAACAUGAAUUGGUCUUUAGACCAUUGCAUUGCUAUAAAUCACCCUUCACCUGUGUAAUCAUUAUAUUGAAACAAUAUAGCACAUACAGUGUCAUCUAUUGCAACGUUAUCUAACUGCAAAUCCUUCUCUGUAGAGGUCAAAUUUACCUUUUCUGGGUACUCAUGAAUUGUAGGUUUUUAAAAGCCCAUUAGCAAGCACUGAGAUCUGUCGUCUCAAGUUUUCUAUUUGAAACCAAUAUAUGUGGCAAAAAUAUGUUCCAAUUUUUAUUUUUAGUAACAAUGAAGAAGAUAAUUUGGUAGUUAGAAUGUGUGUGGAUGUGCAUUAAUAUCAUUACCGCACUUUUGACUUUCCAAAUGUGCCCUGUUUUUAAUUGAAAUAAAACCACUAUCA
RNAcentral lists this long non-coding RNA (4387 nucleotides) under Homo sapiens (human). Its description in RNAcentral is "HSALNT0102221". Lineage: Eukaryota; Metazoa; Chordata; Mammalia; Primates; Hominidae. The record is from RNAcentral.